RNAcentral lists this transfer RNA (77 nucleotides) under Acetomicrobium sp. RNAcentral describes it as "tRNA-Gly". It matches the Rfam family "tRNA". From Rfam's summary of the family: Transfer RNA (tRNA) molecules are approximately 80 nucleotides in length. RNAcentral also lists the same sequence under 1 other name. Lineage: Bacteria; Thermotogati; Synergistota; Synergistia; Synergistales; Acetomicrobiaceae. The record is from RNAcentral.
GCGGGAAUAGCUCAGCAGGCUAGAGCGGCGGCCUUCCAAGCCGCAGGUCGCGGGUUCGAAUCCCGUUUCCCGCUCCA